GAGUGUGAUCAUACCAGCACUAAUGCAUCGGAUCGAAUUAGAACUCUGCGGUUAAGCGAGCUUGGAGGAGAGUAGUACCAGGAUGGGUGACCUUUUAGGAAGUCCUCGUGUUGCACCUC
This 119-nucleotide ribosomal RNA is filed under the name Beta vulgaris subsp. vulgaris (sugar beet). The record is from RNAcentral. Lineage: Eukaryota; Viridiplantae; Streptophyta; Magnoliopsida; Caryophyllales; Amaranthaceae.